RNAcentral lists this long non-coding RNA (1095 nucleotides) under Oreochromis niloticus (Nile tilapia). RNAcentral describes it as "lncRNA (ENSONIG00000032094.1)". The record is from RNAcentral. Lineage: Eukaryota; Metazoa; Chordata; Actinopteri; Cichliformes; Cichlidae.
UGACUCACAAAGCUACAUUUUUGGCUUUAAUGUGCUUUUAAUUCUAUUAACAGACUGCUGACUGUAGCUCUCUGAUAUACAUUACAUUUCUAAUGCUAGGGGGAUAAAUGGCCGUCCCUGUUCAUUCGUUAAUUGAUAAAUAACCCCUUACUUCACUUGCCUCCGUCCUCCUAUGUGAAAGCUGAAAACAUGUGAGGUCUGAAUUCAACAACAGGUCACGUGAUAUAUUUUCUGUUGAUGAUCACAAUGAACAACCAGCUGUUUCCUAAUGAUUUCUCUAAUGGAGUAAAAAGAUGUUUUAACGGACCAACGCUGUGUUCACAACAAUAGCAACAGUAAUGCAGCUGUAUCUCACAUGCAGAGUUGUCUGUUGUUUGCGUCUGUUCAACAUUAUAAUCUCCUUUUCCAAAUCAUAGCCGUCAUCUUCCAGCAGCCAAGUUGUUUUUCUGUUUUUAAGAAGAUAUGAAGCAGUUUAAUCACAGCUGAUAGUAAAUGUUUUUUCUCACGUUUCUCAGCAUCUCUAUCUAUGAGUAACACUGUAAAGAAAUCACCAAAAACACUGUUUUAUUGUACACAACAAUUACAAGUAAAUUAAAAUGUGUCAUGCACAUACUACAGUUAAGACAAAAAAACUCAGACAUUUUGCAUAUCAGGUCUCUGUUGCUACUGUGACCUUGUGGCCCUCACAGACUGAAACCUCUUUCACUUUGUUCACACCAGUGUUGGUCAAGUUACUUGAAAAAGUAAUUAGUUACUAAGUACUGAUUACUUCUCCAAGAAGGUAAUCCCAUUACUUUACUGAUCAGUAGCGGUUUUUGAUAUGGGCGACAUGUGCUGUUGCCCAGGGCGGCAUCGUGGUGGGAGGCGACAUCAUGGGCAUCGGCAAAAAUAAUGUUUAACGUGAUUAAAAUUUGUAAUGCAGUUAAUGCGUCUGGAGUGCAGAAUGACUCAAAAUCCCUGGAAUGUCUCUGUCGACGCAUUUAGGGCAGUUUUUCCAAAGUUUGUCAAUUCUGCGCUCCAGAUGGGCUGACAACAAACACAAAAACUGAAGACAUUAUGAUACAGACUUAUAAUUUGCACCGAUGUGUUUUCUAA